Molecule: long non-coding RNA, 1347 nt
Organism: Medicago truncatula (barrel medic)
Lineage: Eukaryota; Viridiplantae; Streptophyta; Magnoliopsida; Fabales; Fabaceae
Exons: 5
Source: RefSeq, a predicted model, not a curated record
CUACUUCAUUUUCUCUUUCCCUUUCUCUUUCAUCAGAAACACGAUUUUCUUUUUCUUCUCCCAGACCACCGCACCGCUCUCCAUUCACCACACCACCGCCGCCGCGACCACUAUCACCUCCUUCUCCAUCCAUCACUGUUGCAUCCUGCUCUGUUUUCGAUGUUGAUUCUUCAGUUUAAAGAGCUAUCUGCAUCUCUCUCCAUAAACCCUAAUUGUUGUAAAUCGUAAGUGAAUCAAAGACUGUUGUUUUAGGUAGAAAAGAGGGUUUUCUUACGCCAUGAAUUUUUUUCGGAGGUAGAUUGUUAAUUCAAUCAAAAGGGGGAAAUUGAAGCAUAUCACCAAAAUGCUUGAGAAUGUUGCCGAAUAGAAAGUGAAAGCUGAAGAAAUAGCAACAGUUAAGGUUGGUUUUGAGAGGCCUAAUGGUGUCAGUGAUAGCAAACCAAGUCUUAUUGGUUCUGCAAAUAAUGGAAAUAGCACUGCUCCUGCUAGCAACCUGAAAUCGCUGUUACUUACAAACGCGGCGAUAUCAAAAGCCAUGAUGUUGCAGCUCAGAUUGCGGUCAAAUAAUUGCAGCUCAACUCGAUGUUUGAAUGCUAAGUGUUAUCGUUUCUCUUUUUAGUAACCAAUUGGUUGUGGUGAAGUUCGUUUUGAUUCUAAUUUGAGGUGUUUGUUUAUUUUUGUUGAUUUUUAGGUCUGAGUUCAGAGAGACUUUCAAGAAGGAAAGUCAUAGCAAUAAAUUUGUUAAGUUGGAUUUUCGUUUUAUGUAAGGCUUGGUGUGGGAUUUAUAUCUGCUUGAUGAACACAGACAAGGGCUCAUAGUACCAACAACAUAUACACGCUAAUAUAAUUGGUGGGCAAAGUUCCAGGCUUGAGUGCAUCUGGGUGUGUGUAGUAUAUUCUUCCAAGUAACUUGGUAACAUUUGGUAUGCAGAAAAGGUCAUAUGCAUCUGUGCAGAAUCCCAUACCAGCAAUUAUGAUGGCUGUGAAAAGGUACCAUUGUGUUUUGGCUGCAUGAAGAGAAGUUAGAACUCCUAGCUGUUCAUGAGCCAAGGUAGAUUUUGAAGGUGGAGUGACCAAUUGAGUCUUUGGUUAUAGUGUGCUCCAAACACUAGUGGUGACUAUGUUCUGGUAGAAGAAGGAACAACUAUUAGAAAUCCAAACACCAAUUAGUGGUGACUAUAAUUUAUAUACACAUUGUAUUAUUGCAAUUUUGUCCGACUAUCAUUUUCCUGUUUAAAUUUUUAAGUUUUUAGCACUUUCAUGCUACGUAUAUAUGCAGAGGAAUAGUCAUGAGCAAUUUUGUAUUGAAGGAUAAUUUAUAAAUGUUCCACAACUUUAAAAUUAUUU